UAAAAUAAUUAAGGGCACACAAAGGAUGCCUAGGUAGUAAGAGCCGAUGAAGGACGUGGUAAGCUGCGAUAAGCCUAGAUAAGUUGCAAUCGAACGUAAGAAUCUAGGAUUUCCGAAUGGAGCAAUCUAUUAAGAUGGAGUCUUAAUACGAAAGAGGGAACCACGUGAACUGAAACAUCUAAGUAACGUGAGGAAAAGAAAGUAAAAACGAUACCCAAAGUAGCGGCGAGCGAACUGGGUCAAGCCUAAACCUUAAAUAUGUCAAGGAUACAGCCGUUGUAUUUAAGGGGUUGAGGGACAAAGUAGUGAAGAACUGUAAGAUAUUCAAUAUAGUGUAUUGAUGAAUUAGAAUUGUAUGGAAAGAUAAACCGCAGAAGGUGAGAGUCCUGUAUAAGUAAAUCCUUACACAUAUAACUUUGCUCCCAAGUAACAUGGAACACGAGGAAUUCUGUGUGAAUCAGUGAGGACCAUAUCUCAUAAGGCUAAAUACUCUUACUAACCGAUAGCGCAUAGUACCGUGAGGGAAAGGUGAAAAGAACCCCUGGAGGGGAGUGAAAUAGAACCUGAAAUUGUGUGCUUACAAGCGGUCAGAGCCCAUUAGGGUGAUGGCGUGCCUUUUGGAGAAUGAUCCUGCGAGUUACGUUAAACGGCGAGGUUAAGUAUAACGGAGCCGAAGGGAAACCAAGUCUUAAUAGGGCGAUAUAGUCGUUUGGCGUAGACGCGAAACCUGGUGAUCUAAACCUGUCCAGGAUGAAGCUGUGGUAAGACACAGUGGAGGUCCUAACCCACCGCCGUUGAAAAGUUGGGGGAUGAGGUAGGUUUAGGGGGGAAAAGCCAAUCGAACCAGGAGAUAGCUCGUUCUCUCCGAAAUGCAUCUAGGUGCAGCCUUGAGUGUUCAAUUAUGGGGGUAGAGCACUGAAUGAUCUAGGGGGCAUAUUGCUUACUGAAAUCAAUCAAACUCCAAAUACCAUAAUUUAUAGCUCAGGAGUGAGACCAUGGGAGUUAACUUCCAUUGUCAAAAGGGAAACAACCCAGACCACCAGCUAAGGUCCCUAAUUAUAACUAAGUGGGAAAGGAGGUGGAGAUUCACAAACAACUAGGAGGUUGGCUUAGAACCAGCCAUACCUUUAAAGAGUGCGUAAUAGCUCACUAGUCGAGAGUCUCUGCGCCGACAAUGUAACGGGGCUAAGUUAUAAACCGAAGCUGUGGAAUCCUUAUGGAUUGGUAGGAGAGCGUUCUGUAGGCUGUUGAAGAAGAAGGGGAACCAACUUUGGAGGUAUCAGAAGUGAGAAUGCAGGAAUAAGUAGCGAGAAAGGGGGCGAGAAUCCCCCUCGCCGGAAGACCAAGGUUUUCAGGGUAAAGCUUGUCUUCCCUGAGUAAGCCGGGACCUAAGCCCAGGCUAUAAUGCGUAGGCGAAUGGAAAACAGAUUAAUAUUUCUGUGCCAGUCAUUUAUUGUGAUGGAGGGACGCAGAAGGGUAUGUGCGCGGACGAUCGGUUGUGUCCGUAGAAGUAUGUAGGGUGACUUAGUAGGUAAAUCCAUUAAGUUAUAUCUGAGGUAUGAUAUACAGUCGUAAGAUGAAUGUACAAAUCCCACGCUGCCAAGAAAAACUUCUAACGUUAAUAUAUGACUGCCCGUACUGUAAACCGACACAGGUGGUCAGGAUGAGAAAUCUAAGGCGGACAGGCUAACUCUCGUUAAGGAACUCUGCAAAAUAACCUCGUAACUUCGGGAGAAGAGGAGCCCUUGUGUGUGAGUAUACACGCGAUACAAAGCGCACGAGGGUCGCAGUGAAGAGGCUCAAGCAACUGUUUAACAAAAACACAGGUCUAUGCUAAGCUGUAAGGCGAUGUAUAUGGGCUGACACCUGCCCAGUGCUGGAAGGUUAAGAGGAGGAGUGAGAGCUCCGAAUUGAAGCCCCAGUGAACGGCGGCCGUAACUAUAACGGUCCUAAGGUAGCGAAAUUCCUUGUCGGGUAAGUUCCGACCUGCACGAAUGGUGUAAUGAUUUGAGCGCUGUC
RNAcentral lists this ribosomal RNA (2019 nucleotides) under Fusobacterium animalis F0419. RNAcentral describes it as "bacterial LSU rRNA". It matches the Rfam family "Bacterial large subunit ribosomal RNA", at positions 1 to 2020 of the family's 2925-position model. The record is from RNAcentral. Lineage: Bacteria; Fusobacteriati; Fusobacteriota; Fusobacteriia; Fusobacteriales; Fusobacteriaceae.